Non-coding RNA from Rattus norvegicus (Norway rat), 69 nucleotides. The record is from Rfam. NCBI's taxonomy places the organism in Eukaryota, Metazoa, Chordata, Mammalia, Rodentia, Muridae.
GGGGAUUUAGCUCAGUGGUAGAGCGCUUGCCUAACAAACGCAAGGCCCUGGGUUCGGUCCCCAGCUCCG